RNAcentral lists this ribosomal RNA (479 nucleotides) under uncultured Alphaproteobacteria bacterium. RNAcentral's name for it is "bacterial SSU rRNA". It matches the Rfam family "Bacterial small subunit ribosomal RNA", at positions 9 to 524 of the family's 1533-position model. The record is from RNAcentral. Lineage: Bacteria; Pseudomonadati; Pseudomonadota; Alphaproteobacteria.
GAGUUUGAUCGUGGCUCAGAACGAACGCUGGCGGCAUGCCUAACACAUGCAAGUCGAACGGGAUCCGGACUUCGGUCCGGUGAGAGUGGCGGACGGGUGAGUAACGCGUGGGAACCUGCCCAAUGGUCUGGGAUAACCGCGGGAAACUGCGGCUAAUACCGGAUAAGCCCGAGAGGGGAAAGAUUUAUCGCCGAUGGAGGGGCCCGCGUCCGAUUAGGUAGUUGGUGAGGUAACGGCUCACCAAGCCGACGAUCGGUAGCUGGUCUGAGAGGAUGAUCAGCCACACUGGGACUGAGAUACGGCCCAGACUCCUACGGGAGGCAGCAGUGGGGAAUAUUGGACAAUGGGGGCAACCCUGAUCCAGCAAUGCCGCGUGAGUGAUGAAGGCCUUAGGGUUGUAAAGCUCUUUUGGCGGGGACGAUGAUGACGGUACCCGCAGAAUAAGCCCCGGCUAACUUCGUGCCAGCAGCCGCGGUAAU